UCAAAUGGGUGGCAUCUGCAGAGGUGAUUCCUUAUGUACUAACUAAUAUCAGUGUGUCUAUUUCCACAUUCAUCUGUUCAUCAACUGCAUGAUGCGUAUGCGAGCUAACCAGAGCUCAAUUUGUUGGUGAUGGUCUGGCCUUGUCCAUCAGUUUUUAUGCUAUCCCAUUUAUGGUUUCAUAAACAAAACCGUACAAGAUGCUACAAAUGUGUCCAUUUCCACAUUCAAUUGUUCAUCAACUGCAUGAUGCGUAUGCGAGCUAACCAGAGCUCAAUUUGUUGGUGAUGGUCUGGCCUUGUCCAUCAGUUUUUAUGCUAUCCCAUUUAUGGUUUCAUAAACAAAACCGUACAAGAUGCUACAAAUGUGUCCAUUUCCACAUUCAAU
This 384-nucleotide unclassified non-coding RNA is filed under the name Hevea brasiliensis (rubber tree). The record is from RNAcentral. Lineage: Eukaryota; Viridiplantae; Streptophyta; Magnoliopsida; Malpighiales; Euphorbiaceae.